RNAcentral lists this ribosomal RNA (495 nucleotides) under uncultured bacterium. RNAcentral describes it as "partial 16S ribosomal RNA". It matches the Rfam family "Bacterial small subunit ribosomal RNA", at positions 28 to 507 of the family's 1533-position model. The record is from RNAcentral.
GACGAACGCUGGCGGCGUGCCUAAUACAUGCAAGUAGAACGCUGAAGGCGGAGCUUGCUUCUCUGGUUGAGUUGCGAACGGGUGAGUAACGCGUAGGUAACCUGCCUGGUAGCUGGGGAUAACUAUUGGAAACGAUAGCUAAUACCGCAUAAUAGUAGCUGUUGCAUGACAUUUGCUUAAAAGGUGCAAUUGCAUCACUACCAGACGGACCUGCGGUGUAUUAGCUAGUUGGUGGGGUAACGGCUCACCAAGGCGACGAUACAUAGCCGACCUGAGAGGGGGAGCAGCCACACUGAGACUGAGACACGGCCCAGACUCCUACGGAAAGCAGCAGUAGGGAAACUUCGGCAAUGGGCGGAAGACUGAGCGAGCAACGCCGCGGGAGGGAAGAAGGAUGUCGGAUCGUAAAGGUCGGUUGUAAGGGAAGAAAGAGUGUGAGAGUGGAAAGUUCACAGUGUGACGGUAUCUGACCAAAAAGGGACGGCUAACUACGUG